AAUCGAACCCGGAGAUAGCUGGUUCUCCUCGAAAUAGCUUUAGGGCUAGCCUCAUGGAUCAUUGAUGGGGGUAGAGCACUGAAUGUGCGCGGGGGCCACAAAGCCUACCAAACGCUAUCAAACUUCGAAUACCAUACAAUGCAGACCAUGGGAGUCAGUCCGCGAGAGAUAAGUUCCGCGGGCAAAAGGGGAACACCCCAGAUCAACCGCUAAGGUCCCCAAGUUCACGUUAAGUGGAGAAGGAUGUGGAAUUGCACAGACAACCAGGAUGUUGGCUCAGAAGCAGCCACACAUUUAAAGAGUGCGUAAUAGCUCACUGGUCGAGUGAUUGUGCGCCGAAGAUGUCCGGGGCUAAACGUGACACCGAAGCGAUGGGUGCGUCUGAAGAAGAUGCGCGGUAGAGGAGCAAUGUGCAGAGGCAGAAGCCGUAUCGAGAGGCACGGUGGACACUGCACAAGAGAGAAUGCCGGUAUGAGUAGCGAGAGGCAUGCGAGAAACAUGCCCGUCGAAAGCCCAAGGUUUCCUGGGGAAGGUUCAUCCGCCCAGGGUAAGUCGGGGCCUAAGCCGAGGACGGAAGUCGUAGGCGAUGGACAGCAGGUGUAGAUUCCUGCACUACCGAUGGAAUGAAGCAGUGACACAGAAGGAUAACUCGAGCAGGGUGAUGGUCAACCCUGUGCAAGCAUCAAGGUUGGGUUGUAGUGAAGUACGCAAUCCUAUAAGCUGAGGUGUGAUGCGGACCGAAAUUUCAGUAGGGAAGCGAGUGAGUUCACGCUGGCGAGAAAAGCUGCUAGUAUAUCCAAAGGUACCCGUACCGGAAACCGACGCAGGUGGGCGAGGAGAGAAUCCUGAGACGAACGGGAGAACCCUUGUUAAGGAACUCGGCAAAAUGACCCCGUAACUUCGGGAUAAGGGGUGCCUGCGAGAGCAGGCCGCAGAGAAUAGUCACAAGCGACUGUUUAGCAAAAACACAGGUAUCUGCGAAAGCGAGAGCUGACGUAUAGGUGCUGACACCUGCCCGGUGCUGGAAGGUUAAGGGAACAUGUUAGAGCAAUCGAAGCAUCGAACCGAAGCCCCAGUAAACGGCGGCCGUAACUAUAACGGUCCUAAGGUAGCGAAAUUCCUUGUCGGGUAAGUUCCGACCCGCACGAAUGGUGUAACGACUUGUGAGCUGUCUCAACAGGGGGCCCGGUGAAAUUGAAGUAUGGGUGAAGAUGCCCAUUACCCGCGACUGGACGGAAAGACCCCGUAGAGCUUUACUGCAGCCUGAUAUUGAGUUUCGGUAACUGAUGCACAGGAUAGGUGGGAGUCUGAGAGACAUGGGUUUCGGCUCAUGUGGAGACGGUGUUGGGAUACCACUCUUCGGUUACUGAAAUUCUAACAUAGCUCUGUGAAACCAGAGGAUGGACAGUGUCAGGUGGACAGUUUGACUGGGGCGGUCGCCUCCGAAAGAGUAACGGAGGCGCCCAAAGGUACCCUCAGAAUGGAUGGAAACCAUUCGAAGAGCGCAAAGGCAGAAGGGUGCCUGACUGCGAGAUUGACAAAUCGAGCAGAGACGAAAGUCGGGCUUAGUGAUCCGGCGGUAUUGAGUGGAAAAGCCGUCGCUUAACGGAUAAAAGCUACCUCGGGGAUAACAGGCUGAUCUCCCCCAAGAGUCCACAUCGACGGGGAGGUUUGGCACCUCGAUGUCGGCUCAUCGCAUCCUGGAGCUGAAGUCGGUCCCAAGGGUUGGGCUGUUCGCCCAUUAAAGCGGUACGCGAGCUGGGUUCAGAACGUCGUGAGACAGUUCGGUCCCUAUCCGGCGUGGGCGUAGGAUAUUUGAGAGGAGCUGUCCUUAGUACGAGAGGACCGGGAUGGACUGACCUCUGGUGCACCAGUUGUUCUGCCAAGAGCAUGGCUGGGUAGCUAAGUCGGGAAGGGAUAAACGCUGAAAGCAUCUAAGCGUGAAGCCCCCCUCAAGAUGAGAUUUCCCAUAGCAUAAGCUAGUAAGACCCCUUGA
This 1996-nucleotide ribosomal RNA is filed under the name human gut metagenome. RNAcentral describes it as "bacterial LSU rRNA". It matches the Rfam family "Bacterial large subunit ribosomal RNA", at positions 831 to 2841 of the family's 2925-position model. The record is from RNAcentral.